UACUCGAGUGGCGAACGGGUGAGUAACACGGUGGGUGAUCUGCCCUGCACUUCGGGAUAAGCUUGGGAAACUGGGUCUAAUACCGGAUAGGAGCCAUCUUUAGUGUGGUGGUUGGAAAGUUUUUUCGGUGUAGGAUGAGCUCGCGGCCUAUCAGCUUGUUGGUGGGGUAAUGGCCUACCAAGGCGGCGACGGGUAGCCGGCCUGAGAGGGUGUACGGCCACAUUGGGACUGAGAUACGGCCCAG
RNAcentral lists this ribosomal RNA (244 nucleotides) under uncultured Actinomycetales bacterium. RNAcentral's name for it is "partial 16S ribosomal RNA". It matches the Rfam family "Bacterial small subunit ribosomal RNA", at positions 88 to 334 of the family's 1533-position model. Lineage: Bacteria; Bacillati; Actinomycetota; Actinomycetes; Actinomycetales. The record is from RNAcentral.